RNAcentral lists this long non-coding RNA (1105 nucleotides) under Theobroma cacao (cacao). Its description in RNAcentral is "long non-coding RNA (TCAC_LNC005858)". Lineage: Eukaryota; Viridiplantae; Streptophyta; Magnoliopsida; Malvales; Malvaceae. The record is from RNAcentral.
GCAAGAGUAAAGAGGUAGUUUUCGAGGAUCAAGAAUCAGAGUAUCCCGAAUUCGAUUCCCAUUACAGUGAAUAACCUUAUUAUCAUCUUAAUUAUCUAAAGUAUGUUUUUUAUCUGAUAUUGUAAUUUUAUGGAAAAUGUGUUUAAAUGAAAUGAUUUUAUAAAUUGUUUUGAAAUUUAAUGAUGACUUGAAAAUGGAGUAAUUGGAGACUACUUGCUAUAUUGUAAAUUAUGUUUUCAAUUGAAUGGCUUAUGAUAAUGUGGGCAUGAAUGGCUAGAUGGGUAUUUGUGUUGAAAAUGUAUAAACUAUUGUUUGCCUUGAUAGGCUAGAUAAUGAUAAAAUUGCCAUGUCAUGCUGUUGAAUUUUUAUUGAAUUGGUGGGUUAUAGAUUGGUCACUACAGUGGCGAGUUCUGUGGACCAGCUUAUUAGAGGGGCACGAAAUUCGGGUAUAUUCUUACCUCGAUCGGAGAGGCACAUAGGGUAACUCCUGAGGUAAAACUUUAGAGUUCACUUCACGCUGAACCACCACGUGAGGGUGAACUCUGCCAACGCCAAGGAACGGCUAUGUUUUCAAAAUAAAAAACAUGAUUUAUGCGUACAUGACUUUUUAACAGCCUUGGAAGACUUGGUUGGUAUAGCCCCAAGCCAAGGUAUCCCUGACAACUGAGUAUGAGAAUGAUUUUGGCACGAGCCAAGCUUUUCAGGAAAUCAUAAGCCUCGUUGUUUAUUUAGUUGAAAUGAAUCUAUUUUAUCUUAUUAAAAUGAGUUCGAAAUGCUGUGAAUCAGUUUUAUGCUAAUCUAUUUUAUCUGUGUCCAUUUACUCUGCUUUAGAUAUUUUAGAUGGUAUUUUUUUACUCAUUGGGAUUAUAUAAUCUCACCACCCUCCUUUCCACCCAUUUCAGGCUCAGGAUAGUCAGUAGAUAGCUCAUUUCGUUGAGGGUUACAGUUGGACUUGCAUCCUCAAAAACUGUAGGUUCACAGCCUUCAUUACUUUUAGUCAUUCGGGGGCCCACAUGUCAUUGUUAAAUGUUUUGAAUACCUGGCUGCGUGUGCUACUGUAUGUAGGAAUUUAUUUUUCUUUUAUGCUGUAAAAAUUAUUUACGUA